GUGGGGAAUUUUGGACAAUGGGCGCAAGCCUGAUCCAGCCAUGCCGCGUGCGGGAAGAAGGCCUUCGGGUUGUAAACCGCUUUUGGCAGGAACGAAACGGCGCGAGCGAAUAUCUCGCGUUAAUGACGGUACCUGCAGAAUAAGCACCGGCUAACUACGUGCCAGCAGCCGCGGUAAUACGUAGGGUGCAAGCGUUAAUCGGAAUUACUGGGCGUAAAGCGUACGCAGGCGGCUUUGCAAGACAGGUGUGAAAUCCCCGGGCCUAACCUGGGAACUGCAUUUGUGACUGCAUGGCUAGAGUUUGUCAGAGGGGGGUGGAAUUCCACGUGUAGCAGUGAAAUGCGUAGAUAUGUGGAGGAACACCGAUGGCGAAGGCAGCCCCCUGGGAUGUGACUGACGCUCAUGUACGAAAGCGUGGGGAGCAAACAGGAUUAGAAACCCUGGUAGUCC
Molecule: ribosomal RNA, 450 nt
Filed under: uncultured bacterium
Lineage: Bacteria
Description: bacterial SSU rRNA
Rfam family: Bacterial small subunit ribosomal RNA
Source: RNAcentral